UACGUAGGGUGCAAGCGUUGUCCGGAAUUAUUGGGCGUAAAGAGCUCGUAGGCGGUCUGUUGCGUCUGCUGUGAAAACUCGGGGCUUAACCCCGGGCCUGCAGUGGGUACGGGCAGACUAGAGUGCGGUAGGGGAGACUGGAAUUCCUGGUGUAGCGGUGAAAUGCGCAGAUAUCAGGAGGAACACCGGUGGCGAAGGCGGGUCUCUGGGCCGUAACUGACGCUGAGAAGCGAAAGCAUGGGGAGCGAACAGG
This 253-nucleotide ribosomal RNA is filed under the name uncultured bacterium. RNAcentral's name for it is "partial 16S ribosomal RNA". It matches the Rfam family "Bacterial small subunit ribosomal RNA", at positions 524 to 776 of the family's 1533-position model. The record is from RNAcentral.